RNAcentral lists this long non-coding RNA (395 nucleotides) under Homo sapiens (human). Its description in RNAcentral is "HSALNT0408663". The record is from RNAcentral. Lineage: Eukaryota; Metazoa; Chordata; Mammalia; Primates; Hominidae.
ACUGUAUUCUACCCUGGGAUGUUUUCCAUUGUGACAGGGCAGCACUGAGUUCCAAUGAAAUGUUCCGUCAUCACUUUACCCUCCCUCCCCCAAGCACACAGAUUCUUUCUCUGUGCCACAUGGCCACUGCCAGGGUGGGGAGAAUGUGGGAGGGUUGACGUUGGCAAUUCAAGACUGUCUUUCCUACUGUCUUCAGUUAGUCUUAAUAGGAUGUUAAAACCAGUUUCACAUCCAAAAUCAUACUUUCCAGAAAAGGAAACUAAGAUCCAAAGAUGUUAUUGACCUGCUCAAGACCCCACAUAUAUGUAGAAGCAAUGUCAGGACUAGAAGUUGGUUGCUUGAUUUUAUGUCACUGCUUUCUCUGACAUAUAAUAAAAUUUAUGUUUUAUCCUUUA